CAGCCGCCGCGGUAAUACGUAGGUGGCAAGCGUUGUCCGGAAUUAUUGGGCGUAAAGGGCUCGCAGGCGGUUUCUUAAGUCUGAUGUGAAAGCCCCCGGCUCAACCGGGGAGGGUCAUUGGAAACUGGGAAACUUGAGUGCAGAAGAGGAGAGUGGAAUUCCACGUGUAGCGGUGAAAUGCGUAGAGAUGUGGAGGAACACCAGUGGCGAAGGCGACUCUCUGGUCUGUAACUGACGUUGAGGAGCGAAAGCGUGGGGAGCGAACAGGAUUAGAGACCCCAGUAGUCCCUGUCUCUUAUAC
Molecule: ribosomal RNA, 301 nt
Filed under: uncultured bacterium
Lineage: Bacteria
Description: partial 16S ribosomal RNA
Rfam family: Bacterial small subunit ribosomal RNA
Source: RNAcentral